This 90-nucleotide transfer RNA is filed under the name Candidatus Tagabacteria bacterium CG10_big_fil_rev_8_21_14_0_10_40_13. Its description in RNAcentral is "tRNA-OTHER". It matches the Rfam family "tRNA". From Rfam's summary of the family: Transfer RNA (tRNA) molecules are approximately 80 nucleotides in length. Lineage: Bacteria; Candidatus Tagaibacteriota. The record is from RNAcentral.
GGAGGCGUGCCUGAGUGGCUGAAGGGGACGGUCCCGAAAACCGUUAUGCCCGCAAGGGUAUCGGAGGUUCGAAUCCUCCCGCCUCCGCCA